RNAcentral lists this ribosomal RNA (488 nucleotides) under uncultured euryarchaeote. RNAcentral describes it as "bacterial SSU rRNA". It matches the Rfam family "Archaeal small subunit ribosomal RNA", at positions 860 to 1349 of the family's 1478-position model. Lineage: Archaea; Methanobacteriati; Methanobacteriota. The record is from RNAcentral.
AGGAAUUGGCGGGGGAGCACCGCAACGGGAGGAGCGUGCGGUUUAAUUGGAUUCAACACCGGAAAACUCACCAAGGGCGACUGUUACAUGAAGGCCAGGCCGACGACCUUGCCGGAUUUUCAGAGAGGUGGUGCAUGGCCGUCGUCAGUUCGUACCGUAAGGCGUUCUCUUAAGUGAGAUAACGAACGAGACCCUCACCGAUAAUUGCUACUUCUUCCUCCGGGGAGGAGGCACAUUAUCGGGACCGCUGGCGCUAAGCCAGAGGAAGGAGAGGUCAACGGUAGGUCAGUAUGCCCCGAAUCUCUUGGGCUGCACGCGCGCUACAAAGGGCGGGACAAUGGGCUCCGACGCCGAGAGGCGGAGGCAAUCCCGAAACCCGUCCGUAGUUCGGAUUGAGGGCUGUAACCCGCCCUCAUGAAGCUGGAUUCCGUAGUAAUCGCGAAUCAACAACUCGCGGUGAAUAUGCCCCUGCUCCUUGCACACACCGC